Long non-coding RNA from Ictidomys tridecemlineatus (thirteen-lined ground squirrel), 1179 nucleotides. RefSeq lists it as uncharacterized. The record is from RefSeq and is a predicted model, not a curated record. NCBI's taxonomy places the organism in Eukaryota, Metazoa, Chordata, Mammalia, Rodentia, Sciuridae.
CGCGCAGGCUUGUGCCCUGCGGCCGCCGGGGCGCCGAGGCGCCGCUGAAUUGAGAGAUUUCUCCCAGAAGCAUGGAAGCAUUGACCAUGAAGUAGUGUUCAUGAUAUCUGGCUUGACUAGGGUGCCAUAACCCAGGACACUUUGCCAAUAAUCCAAAUGAUAUGCCCGAGACAGGAAGGCAGCUUCCAGGGAGGCCCUCCUCACUCUGAGCAACGGUGGCAUCAUCAUUGGAGAAGUGGCACUCCUCCAGAGGUAGCUGUUGGAAGCAGAUCCCGUGCGUGCAGGGAAGUUGUGGAUGUUUGCUUUUACACAGAGGGUCAUUGCAUCAUGGCCCCACCUUGCCCCCGCCCUUGUAUGGCUCACUCAGAAGGAGCUGGGCCAGCAGCAAAUGGCAGGAAUUGGGCCAGGGUCUCUUGGAGCCUGGCAGGGCCCUGGGGGCAGCUCUCUGUCCUGAGGAUGAUUUUGCCAGCACAUGGUGCUUCCCACAGCCUUGCCUUGUCAGUUGUCGGAAGUCAUUGUGGUGGUGUCAGCAUUCAGAAAAGCCACCUAAUAUCCAGCCAACAGAGAGGCAGCAGGCUCCAGAGCUGACCCCUGUGCUGUUAAUUUAAAACUCCUCCCCACUGGCCUCCGUCCACAGAAUCAUCUGAAUGUCCCACCUGCCAGCAGUACCCUUCAGGAUCCACCGUGUCGCCCCCUAGCCUUGUCUCCUACACUGUUGUGAAGGCCCUACUCCUGCCCUCCCAGCACGGUCACCCGGGAUGGGUGUCCUCGUCCUCCUCCCUCCUCCCUCCCCUCUCCUCUCCCACUUGGAAUCAGGAGCAUGGUUUAUUUUUUCAUAUGUCUGGUUUCUAGCCCAGUACCUGGCGCACAAAAGUCACCUGAUCGUGCUGGGCUGGGACAGGAACUGCCCUGAAAGUCGGAUUGCUGAGCAGGAGCCGCGUGGGCUCACAGGACUUGCUGUGCAGUUGGAAGGACAGAAGGUUCUGGACACUCAGCCUUUGCUCAGGUGUCACUUUAUGCAUUCAGUGGAGUGGGGGGCUCCUGUGUGCAAGGAUGUCCUCCAUGGCUGCUACCGGGCCGAGUUCCAGGGGACCAGCAGGGAUCUGGCGAGAGCCAUGAGGUGCUAACCUUCUGCCCCAUGCUAAAAAAACAAAAAUAAAUAAACAACCCUGCCUCUUU